Molecule: non-coding RNA, 72 nt
Organism: Tigriopus californicus
Lineage: Eukaryota; Metazoa; Arthropoda; Copepoda; Harpacticoida; Harpacticidae
Source: the annotation of a RefSeq genome assembly
GCCCGCAUAGCUCAGGGGCAGAGCACUAGUCUCGUUAACUAGGGGCCGUGAGUUCGAUUCUCACUGUGGGCA